Molecule: long non-coding RNA, 682 nt
Filed under: Pan troglodytes (chimpanzee)
Lineage: Eukaryota; Metazoa; Chordata; Mammalia; Primates; Hominidae
Description: long non-coding RNA NONPTRT011411
Source: RNAcentral
AAAGUGGUGAAGUCAUUGGUGUCCUUGGCAAUAACUGAUUCAGUUGGAGUGAUGAGGACUACAGCCUUGUUGGAAUACAAUUUCUGAAGGAGGGAGAUGUGUGAAGAGAGAGAGUUGGAGGGAGAGAGAGAAGGAUUAUAGAUAAUUAUUUUUAGGAGUUGUGUUAUAAGGAAAAACAGAGAAAUGGGGUGGUUGCAGGAGGGAGGGUUAAGAGACAGAUUUGUUUUUCCUGAGCUGGGAGAUGUGACAGCAUGUUUGCCAACCUCCAGGAAGGGCUAGUAGAUGAGGGGAACCAUUUGUGCAGCGGUCACCUAUCUCUUCUUUUCCACCAGUCACAUCCUUGAAGAAGCCUGAAAGAUAGGCUUUGCAGAGGGACAUUAAUACUCAGUCCACUGGACAAGGGGGAAGACAAUGUAUAGGGCACAGGUGAUUCAGCCAACUCUGACUCUUGUGUUUUGUACAUACAGCAUUUCAGUCUUUCCAAGGUGAGUUGUAUGAGCCGCAUGUCAUCAUAGCUAUUGUUUUCCUAGUGAAGCGCCUCAUGGAGAAAGGUAGCAUUAGUAGUAAAACAGUCUCCAAAAUUUGCUUUACAAAAUAUGGUAGUUACUGCCACCCAGGAGAGGUCUUCCUCAUGGCUCUUUAAUUGAUGGAUGGUAAAUGACUGUCUCGCUACCUCUUGUUC